Cricetulus griseus (Chinese hamster) is the source of this 928-nucleotide non-coding RNA. NCBI's taxonomy places the organism in Eukaryota, Metazoa, Chordata, Mammalia, Rodentia, Cricetidae. The record is from RefSeq and is a predicted model, not a curated record.
GAUAAAUGUUUGACAAAUGUGCUCCGGCUUCUUUGCUUCUUUGUUUUCUUUUUUUUUCUGGCCUCUUGCUUUUUGGGUUUAUUGGAUUUUUUAUUUUGGUUGGUUUUAUUGCAAACUCUCACUCCAUAGCCCAGUUCGGUCUAGAGCUCGCCACAUUGCCCCUGAGGGCCUCGAACACGCCUAGUCUACUAGUCUAGGCUUUUUGUUUUUUCAUUGCAUCAUUCAUUUGUAGUGGGAAACGAAAAGGAAUUAGGCUCUAUUAUUACUUUAAAACAUUAAAUGACGUCCACAGGAUGUUUAUAGCAUAUUUCAUUAUUUUCUAAACUCUGAGAUAAUGUACCACGCUAUGAAAUCUCUGAAUUUUUCCUCCUUUGGUAAGUCCUCAUUCACGCCAUGGGGAAACUUACUUUGUGAGAGACAUUAGCUGGAGAGUCAUCUGCAUCUUACUCCGGUCUCAGGCAGUUUGGUAUUCUGCCAAGCACAUCCAUUGGGAAGCCGAGCCCUCUUAAAAACUUCCUAGAAGAUUUGUGUUUGCAAGACUGUUAGGAAGAAAAUGCAGGUGAGAACAUCUGCAAUGUGCUAUUUGCUAUUCAGUUCCUUUUGCUGUUGCAGUGUGCUAGACAUGUCUAAGUGCUGAGGAUUAAACUGAAGACCUCAUCAUGUAUGCCUGGCAAGCAUUAUAUUCCCAGCCCUAAAUUAUCAAUCAAGUUAAAGAGUAAAUUUAUGUAAAAUUAGGUCUGUUCUAGAAAUUUGAGGUCUAGCCAAGGAAAAUUAGGUUUACUCUAGAACUUUUGUCUACACUCCAACUUCAUAAACCACAGUUGUUCGUUUUAUUUUUUUUUAAAGAUAUAUUUAUCGCCGGGUGUUGGUGGCGCAUACCUUUAAUCCCAGCACUCGGGGGGCUGAGUUCGAGUCCAGCCUGAUCUAC